RNAcentral lists this ribosomal RNA (301 nucleotides) under uncultured bacterium. Its description in RNAcentral is "partial 16S ribosomal RNA". It matches the Rfam family "Bacterial small subunit ribosomal RNA", at positions 509 to 807 of the family's 1533-position model. The record is from RNAcentral.
CAGCAGCCACGGGAAUACGGAGGGUGCAAGCGUUAAUCGGAAUUACUGGGCGUAAAGCGCACGCAGGCGGUCUGUCAAGUCGGAUGUGAAAUCCCCGGGCUCAACCUGGGAACUGCAUUCGAAACUGGCAGGCUAGAGUCUUGUAGAGGGGGGUAGAAUUCCAGGUGUAGCGGUGAAAUGCGUAGAGAUCUGGAGGAAUACCGGUGGCGAAGGCGGCCCCCUGGACAAAGACUGACGCUCAGGUGCGAAAGCGUGGGGAGCAAACAGGAUUAGAUACCCGUGUAGUCCCUGUCUCUUAUAC